UACGGAGGGUGCGAGCGUUGUUCGGAAUUACUGGGCGUAAAGCGCGUGCAGGCGGCCGAUUAAGUCUGGUGUGAAAGCCCGGGGCUCACCCCCGGAAGUGCGCUGGAAACUGGUCGGCUAGAGUAUGGGAGAGGAAAGUGGAAUUCCCGGUGUAGCGGUGAAAUGCGUAGAUAUCGUAAGGAAGACCAGUGGCGAAGGCGGGUCUCUGGACAGUUCCUGACGCUGAGGCACGAAAGCGUGGGGAGCAAACAGG
RNAcentral lists this ribosomal RNA (253 nucleotides) under uncultured bacterium. RNAcentral describes it as "partial 16S ribosomal RNA". It matches the Rfam family "Bacterial small subunit ribosomal RNA", at positions 524 to 776 of the family's 1533-position model. The record is from RNAcentral.